AGAAAACGCUCUUCUAAAAAUGGAAGAGGACAGACACAGAACAGCUUGUCCCUUUCCAUCCAAUUAAAAACCUCCUGAGACUGAACUAGAUUAAAAACAAAACUCUCCGGCGAAGCCGCAGGCCCUCCAAGAUGGGCAGCCUCCUACCAAGAGAGUACAGCCGAUGCCAGCAGCCUUGCCCCCAGACGGACCGUCCACCCCCCGGUAAGGAUGCACAAGAACUGCUAUUGGUGAUGCCCCAGAGAGGACCACCAGGCAGCUGAGGAGCUCGGGGGCUGGUGAUAAGGGGUGGAGGAGCUUUUCCCUCGGGACCUGUGAUCUCCUGGGUGAAAGGCGCUAACGGCACACAGAAGCAGCAAAGACGAUAACGCAGUCUGCAGUUCUGGUAUGCAUAUCUUUGGGGAAACAAGAAAGAAGGACGGAGAAAGUGAGGACUUUGCAAAGGACAGGAAGUAGGACCCAAAGAGUUUAAUCUGUGACUGAGAGCGCAAACACACAGUGCUUGAGGUUUGGAAGAAGCGAGAGAAAACUAAGAAUUUAAAUAGCUGAAGUCUAAAAAAGGGACGGGAUAGACUCGUUCUCUACAGGAAUUCACUAAAUGAUUAGAACUUUGCACUGUGGAGAGACGAAGGCUGAGGGGAAUGAGGUAUGACAGCGACAGUAAAACCGUGAAGAGUACAGACGAGGCAAACAAACCCGCUCUCUUUACCAGCCAGAACACCGGGAUGGGGACUGCGAGGAAGAGAAGGUGGACGAGGAAAGCUGAAAAGUCAAGGCGGCUUUUGCUUGGGACAAAUAAAACACGUCAAGCAACUGCUUGGGUUGUUUCUCUCAGUGUUUCCAGCAGUUAGUCCAGGACCAGGCAUGUCAUCAGUCAAUCUGGGUUGAAUGAAGAAAUAUCCAUAUUUGGGGGCCUCCCCAUGGCCGAGUGGUUAAGUUAGUGAGCUCUGCUUUGGUGGCCCAGGGUUUCGCUGGUUUGGAUCCUGGGCGGGGACAUGUCACC
This is a long non-coding RNA of Equus quagga, 1003 nucleotides long. RefSeq lists it as uncharacterized. The transcript has 3 exons. NCBI's taxonomy places the organism in Eukaryota, Metazoa, Chordata, Mammalia, Perissodactyla, Equidae. The record is from RefSeq and is a predicted model, not a curated record.